This 253-nucleotide ribosomal RNA is filed under the name uncultured bacterium. Its description in RNAcentral is "partial 16S ribosomal RNA". It matches the Rfam family "Bacterial small subunit ribosomal RNA", at positions 524 to 776 of the family's 1533-position model. The record is from RNAcentral.
UACGAAGGGGGCUAGCGUUGCUCGGAAUCACUGGGCGUAAAGCGCACGUAGGCGGAUUGUUAAGUCAGGGGUGAAAUCCUGGAGCUCAACUCCAGAACUGCCUUUGAUACUGAAGAUCUUGAGUUCGGGAGAGGUGAGUGGAACUGCGAGUGUAGAGGUGAAAUUCGUAGAUAUUCGCAAGAACACCAGUGGCGAAGGCGGCUCACUGGCCCGAUACUGACGCUGAGGUGCGAAAGCGUGGGGAGCAAACAGG